Molecule: non-coding RNA, 2612 nt
Organism: Prunus mume (Japanese apricot)
Lineage: Eukaryota; Viridiplantae; Streptophyta; Magnoliopsida; Rosales; Rosaceae
Source: RefSeq, a predicted model, not a curated record
GAACCCGUUGCCUGCCGGGACUUGUGCUUGAAGAUACCAAACCCAACUCAACCUCAACAGCGGUCAAAACUCGCCGUUUCACUUGCUUUCCUCCUCUACAUUUUUGAGUCCCGUGAUUCUCUCUCUCACUCAUUUAAGCUCCAAUGCUCUGUUUGGUUGCUGAGAAAAACUGAGAGCAAGCUAUGCCACUCUGUGAAGCUUGAGUUUUCCUGUUUUGGGGUAUUUGUCAGGUAGCAGAGUUGGAAUAAAUUUCAGAUGGAAGAGGAGAAUGCCGUGGAGCUUUUGCAACGGUAUCGUCGGGACAGGCGAAUACUUCUGGAUUUUAUACUUGCCGGUAGCUUAAUAAAGAAGGUGAUAAUGCCUCCUGGUGCGGUUACUCUAGAUGUGGAUCUAGGCCAAGUUAGUGUUGAUUAUGUGCUCAAUUGUGCUAAGAAAGGUGGAAUGCUUGAACUCUCGGAAGCUAUUAGAGACUACCAUGACCAUACUGGGUUACCCCAGAUGAACAGUACAGGUUCUGCUGGUCAAUUCUUUUUGGUUACAAAUCCUGAGUUUUCCGGUUCUCCUCCAAAACGGGCACCACCACCUGUUCCGGACUUCGUGCCACCUCCUGUUCUAACUCUACCUCCUGGUGUCUUAUCAUCUAUUCCUGACCUUGACUCAUCUCCGGUUGCAUCAAGUGUGUCAAAGUCCGAAUCUUUUAACUACACACAAGCCUAAGAACUGACUGUAGAUGAUAUUGAAGAUUUCGAGGAUAUUGAUGAGGCUGACAGUCUCCGGAUUUCAAGAAGGAUGCGAAACGAUGCUACUGAUCUUUCGCUUGGAUUGCCUUCUUUUAAGACAGGUAUCACAGAAGAUGAUCUCCGUGAAACUGCAUAUGAAGUCCUUUUGGCAUGUGCUGGUGCUGCAGGGGGUCUGAUUGUGCCGUCAAAAGAGAAAAAGAAAGACAAAAGGUCCAAGCUGAUGAGGAAACUUGGACGUAGUAGAAAUGAAAAUCCUUUGAGUCAGUCUCAACGAGCACCUGGAUUGGUUGGUUUGUUGGAGACCAUGCGUGUCCAGAUGGAGAUAUCUGAGGCAAUGGAUAUCAGAACUAGACAAGGGCUGCUUAAUGCCCUAGCUGGAAAAGUGGGAAAAAGAAUGGAUGCCCUAUUGGUUCCUCUGGAACUUCUCUGUUGUAUUUCACAAACAGAAUUUUCUGACAAGAAGGCGUAUAUACGGUGGCAGAAAAGGCAGUUGAAUAUGUUGGAGGAAGGGCUUCUUAAUUUCCCUGCUGUUGGAUUUGGGGAGUCUGGACGGAAGGCAAGUGAGUUUAGGAUUCUUUUAGCAAAAAUUGAAGAAUCUGAGUUUCUUCCACCUUCCACAGGUGAACUCCAACGAACAGAAUGCUUAAGAUCUCUUCGAGAGAUUGCCACUCCACUUGCUGAGAGGCCUGUUCGUGGUGACUUAACUGGUGAAGUAUGUCACUGGGCAGAUGGUUGUCACUUGAACAUUAGACUGUAUGAGAAACUGCUUCUCAGUGUCUUUGAUAUGUUAGAUGGGGGAAAGUUGACUGAGUCAAUCAGUGGUUUGGGAAAACUCUAUGCUCUUGGAAAUAUUUUGGAUGAUUUUGUGUAUCAAAGGCAUGGGCCAGAUUCUUAUGAACGGGUUGAAUUGGGCACUUAUCCCUUCUGUGAAUGGUAAAUUUGUGUUUUUAUUGGAUGUGUACUGCAAGGCUCUUGCCUGAUGAAUCACUUCUGAGCGAUCUCAUUCUGGAACUCGUGUCCAUACUUCCUCAAGAUUGAAAAGACAACGGCUUAGGUAAUGCCUUCUUCAUUUCCAAAACGCAUCAAACUGGAGGAGCUUGAGACUGUAUUAGAGGGAAAAUCAAAUUGUGGCCUAGUUCCUGGGUGUGUCUCGUUCUUGACCCUUCAGCAAGCAGCUCAAUUGCUUGUGUAAUUUAAAUAAUUGAUGAAGUGGCCUUUAUUUCACAUAACUUGGGUAGAAAUAUCUGGGAAAUACCAGAAAGCAAUAUGUCUGAAUCUGAGGAGAGGAGAAGAUUGAAUGCUGUCCAGAUGAGUCUCCAUCUCUUAAAGCUACAGAUAUCAGAACUAUGUGGAAUCCUGCUACUCUCUGCACUGGCGGAUCUACAGAGGCGCAAAGAGGUGCAGCUGCACCUCCCUUCGCCGGAAAAAGCUUUGGAGGUGCCUGAAAAUGCCCCUCUGCUAAUGCCCACAACAGCUAUGGUAUGUAAGCUCUAUGAGGCGCCGUCAAUGGCUUAUUCCUCUCGAAGAAGAAGACCCAACCCUGACUCAACUUUUGUUUUCCUCUAGGUUUUAAGUGAACGACGUCGGAUUGAGAUGCGUGGGUUUUUUUUAAUGAAACGAUGUGUUUCGUGUAGUCUGGUUUCAUACAAUAAAGACACUACCAUUUGUAAACCGUACUUCCCUGAUGAUAUCCCAGUUUAGGGCUGGGAAUUUAAACCGCUGAACAGGCUGAACCAGUUGAUGCUGAAUAUUUGUAAACAUUCCCGUGGUGAAUGGUUGGACACAACCAAUACUGAUGAACUCCAAACGCUAAGGAACAAAUUCUGUCUGAAGGGCUAAAACUUCCCAUUGUGCGAAUAUGCUUCGUUUCUU